This 229-nucleotide unclassified non-coding RNA is filed under the name Hevea brasiliensis (rubber tree). Lineage: Eukaryota; Viridiplantae; Streptophyta; Magnoliopsida; Malpighiales; Euphorbiaceae. The record is from RNAcentral.
CUUUCAGAGAUGUCCCGCGGGGUUCACUUGGCUGUUGGCUUAGCAAGCACUUGCCCGCUGCUCCCGCCGCCCGAUACUUUUGCUUAGUUUAUUGAAAUUCUUCAUCUUUUUGUUUGAUUUUUCUGUUCUAAUACACGGUUAAUUCUAAUGGUUUUGCUUUAUGUAAUUGUAGGCAACAGAAACUGUGAACCCAAAAGCAUAUCCUCUUGCUGAUUCACAGCUUACAACG